UACGAAGGGGGCUAGCGUUGCUCGGAAUCACUGGGCGUAAAGGGUGCGUAGGCGGGUUUUUAAGUCAGAGGUGAAAUCCUGGAGCUCAACUCCAGAACUGCCUUUGAUACUGGGAAUCUUGAGUAUGGAAGAGGUGAGUGGAACUGCGAGUGUAGAGGUGAAAUUCGUAGAUAUUCGCAAGAACACCAGUGGCGAAGGCGGCUCACUGGUCCAUAACUGACGCUGAGGCACGAAAGCGUGGGGGAGCGAACAGG
RNAcentral lists this ribosomal RNA (254 nucleotides) under uncultured bacterium. Its description in RNAcentral is "partial 16S ribosomal RNA". It matches the Rfam family "Bacterial small subunit ribosomal RNA", at positions 524 to 776 of the family's 1533-position model. The record is from RNAcentral.